RNAcentral lists this long non-coding RNA (593 nucleotides) under Pongo abelii (Sumatran orangutan). Its description in RNAcentral is "lincRNA". The record is from RNAcentral. Lineage: Eukaryota; Metazoa; Chordata; Mammalia; Primates; Hominidae.
GCCUACCAAAAGGACUCAAGAGUCUACCCUACUAGCCAAAGAGACCAUCUGAGCAUUAAGGAUAAUACAGCAAUGAAAACAUCAGAUGUGUUUAAAUCCACGUGUUCACGAUGAUGGACGAGAAGCAGCAACAGAGACUCUCCCUGGUCAUCUCUGGAGGACUCCAGGGAACCAACCGACCUAUGAAAAUUAUACCAGAGAGACAGAGAGUCCAACGCUGAUCCUCUCUGUCCCCCAUGAUCUGUGACCCAGAAUGUGCUUUGGCUCCCUUGGUUGGAGAAGCCAGGGUUUGGUCCUUAUUUGGGACUCAAUUCAAGCAAACUGUUUAAAAAAAAAAAAAAUCGUAAGACCACUGGGGAAAUUCUGCCUGGAUAUUUUGUACUAUUAAGUAAUUAUAAUGAAUUUGGGUCUAGAUAUAAUUGUGGUUGUGCUUUUGGGGAAGCUUCUGUUUUUGAAAUACACACUGAUGAAAUCUCAGAUGCCUGGGAUGGGCUUCAGAAUAGUCUGGGAGCAGUUGGGGGUGGGAGCUCAUGGAGAACUGUGGAGCUGGGGGGUCGGCUUGUGGUCGCCUCUCUCUGCUUCUGCACACAUCU